AGUCGCUGCACAUUUGUCGUGCAACGUGUUGAGACAAUGAGAAUUUUGAGAUGUUAACUGAGAUUGAGCCAGCUACAGCUAAGAAUAUUGCAUGUGGUAAAUGGUUAUUACCCGUUGGCCAUCCACUGACCACUGGUGCUGCAUUGUACGAGACGUUAUUUACAUUUGUGGAGUAAACUAAGAAGCUGAAGGUCCCACAUUGGGAUUUCAGUUGUAAAAAUGCAAUGAAAGAAACAGCGCUACAGAAAUUAUUUGGUUGCUGUGGAUACUUCCCUCUAGCUGAUUCCCUUACACUGAUUGAUCUCAAAGUAGAAACAUCAUCCAAACCCAUGAAAUUUCAACUUGACAGCUUUUGAGUAAGUCAUCUCUAUUGAAAGUCAAAUCAAUUCUGUCAAGCUUCAAGUGCAGCUCGUGGGGUGAAUUGACUCAUGGACUAUGAGUAGCACAUUUAUUUAAACCCGUCAGCUACAAGUAUCUGUUGACUGACACAGGAAAGUGAAUUGGGCCUUGUUAUGCAGUUGUCCAUGCAGAUUGAUUGCAGCUUGGGGUCAUGUGGAUGUCUCAGUGUCAACCCUCACUGUGUGCUCCUUAAAACUUUGUGUUCUCGUGGUUUAAGGAACUUGGAAUUUUAACCAGAUGCCAUAACCAUUAUACCAUGGUUGGGUCGCACAUCCGGUUUGAAUAAUGUUCGGAAGGCAUAAUCGUACCCCAGUCUUCUUUCUCGUAAGAUUGUUACAGCUACGAGCACAAGCGACUAAACCACCACCAUUGAACUUGAAAGGACGAUGAGAGAUUCAUUAAAAGAAGAAACUUGAAAGCUUCAAAGAUUUGGAAACCAUACUGUCCACCACGUCCACAAGCUGAGAAACAUUUCACAAGUAAUAUGUUCUUAAUGACACUUUUCAAAAUAUGGAACUUCCCUUCAGCCAUCAGUCUAGCACUUACGUCCAAUUUUGCAGGCCUUUGCUGUGAACAUCAAUAACAUUCACUAAUUGAAGGUUCAUGUUUCCAUUGUUGCUGCCCAAUGAUGCGUGUUGUCCCAGCCUAUGCCGGUGAAAGUUAUUUUUCUUCAAGUUAAACUUUGGCUGUUCUUUGGUGCUGGCGUCGUGUUACGGAAUUUGCAUCCUGUAUUUUGUUCAAUUUUAUUUGUGUCUAUAUCUUUUAUUUGUUGAGAAGGAAGAAAAACAGAAAUAUGGGGAGUUUUAACGUUAAACAAUAAAUAUUGGGAAAGCAACGAGGAAGAAGAUGGCGGGGGGUGGGGAGAUUUAAAGUAAUGUUAAUGAAUAGUGACGUGAAAAUUAAUGAUGAAACCUUUAUUAACCUAUAACCCAACAUAUUAACAUAAUAUCCUAAUACCCACACCUCUAAUACUCACACUUAUAUCCAUUCCACCCCUAUAAUUCUCACAUUCCAAAUACCCAAUCCUGUAUUACUCACACCCCCAAUACCCAUACCACUAAUAUAUAUAUCUAA
RNAcentral lists this long non-coding RNA (1473 nucleotides) under Daphnia pulex (common water flea). Its description in RNAcentral is "uncharacterized LOC124197085, transcript variant X6". The record is from RNAcentral. Lineage: Eukaryota; Metazoa; Arthropoda; Branchiopoda; Diplostraca; Daphniidae.